GUGCUCACUUUGGCAGCACAUGUACUAAAAUUGGAACAAUAUAGAGAUUGGCAUGUAGCAUGGCCCCUGUGAAAGGAUGACACACAAAUUUGUGAAUCAUUCCAUAUUUUA
Molecule: small nuclear RNA, 111 nt
Filed under: Castor canadensis (American beaver)
Lineage: Eukaryota; Metazoa; Chordata; Mammalia; Rodentia; Castoridae
Source: RNAcentral